This 246-nucleotide unclassified non-coding RNA is filed under the name Glomus sp. RNAcentral's name for it is "partial contains 5.8S ribosomal RNA and internal transcribed spacer 2". The stretch from base 1 to 65 matches the Rfam family "5.8S ribosomal RNA", at positions 84 to 154 of the family's 154-position model. Lineage: Eukaryota; Fungi; Glomeromycota; Glomeromycetes; Glomerales; Glomeraceae. The record is from RNAcentral.
GUGAAUCAUCGAAUUUUUGAACGCAAAUUGCACUCUCUUGGGAGAGUAUGCCUGUUUGAGGGUCAGCCUAAAAAAAAUCGACAUAGUUGCUGUUACGCGAUAACAUUCGUCGGAAAUUGGGUCAUCUUAAACCUUUUGGUUUAAGCGGCUUAAAAUUUUCUUUACUAUUCCGAGUAUGUUUCCAUGAUUUUAUUUUCUUAUACGUUUAAGUUAUCGAUCUUUAUUAUUCUUAGCCGUUGCAUCGGC